This 874-nucleotide long non-coding RNA is filed under the name Linum usitatissimum (flax). RNAcentral's name for it is "long non-coding RNA (LUSI_LNC003607)". Lineage: Eukaryota; Viridiplantae; Streptophyta; Magnoliopsida; Malpighiales; Linaceae. The record is from RNAcentral.
GGAUCAUCUUCAUCCGCACUUGGCGGACGAUGUAUUUCCCUUUCUCGAUCGGCUGCUUCGCCGUCACCAGUUCCAGCACCACAACUCCGAAACUGUAGACGUCGCUCUUCUCCGUCAGCUGCUGUGACAUGUAGUAUUCUGGAUCCAGGUAUCCCUGCAUUCAAUUGAUUACUUUGUGAGCUGAACUAUUCAUCAAUUUGACUAGAAUGUGAGAUAGUGAUAUGGACUGUCUUCGAAACGUAAUUUAAAUUUGGUUGUUGCAAGCAAAAUCUAAGUCUCAUCAUGAGAUUGAGGUAUUGCUCACCAAGGUGCCUUUAACUUGAGUAGAAACAUGGCCUUUUGUGCUAUCAGAGACAAGCUUGGACAAGCCAAAGUCAGCAACCUUGGCACUCAAGUUUUCAUCCAAGAGGAUAUUGGUGGACUUGAUGUCUCUGUGGAUGAUCGGAGGGUUUGCAAGCUCGUGAAGGUACGCAAGUCCUCUAGCUGAUCCAAGGGCAAUCCGGAGCCUCCUUCUCCAGUCAAGAUGAAUACCUGAUUUACCUGUUAAAAGAAAGGAAAAUGAACACUUCAUUUGCAGGGUUGAAUGUAAGUUGAGGAAGGACAACGGAUUGUUGAGCAGCUCCAGUGCCUGACCUGUCAAACUUUCCUUGAGACUUCCAUUGGGCAUGAACUCGUACACUAGCAUCUGUUCUCCUUGUUCGAAACAGAAUCCAAUGAGGGCUAAGAGAUUUUUGUGGUGUACUCUUGACAGCAACUCGAUCUCAGUUUUGAACUCCUGCCCGCCUUGCAGGGAUCCUUGUCGUGCUCGUUUGAUUGCCACAAGCUGUCCAUCAGAAAGCAUUCCUCUGUACACCUGCGGAUAACCAGACCAGGA